UAUGGCUUGGGUUUCCCACCUUUACCUCCAAACCCCUACAUGGAAAUUCCUGGCUAUAUUGUCCCUCAGGCUCAGCUGCAUCCUGCGGAUUACAGAAGACUCUUAAAUCCCCACUUCCCACCCACCAUGGCCUAUCAUGCCAGGAGAUUUCGGUAUCAACAGAACACCACUUCAAAGGAGACCACCAGCUCGGAGGUGCAGACCGAUCCAGCUGUGCUGAUGAAUGACUCGCAGCAUUCAGGAGUUAUUGGUACUUGUGUGGGAGGUGCCCAAGCUGGGAGAUCAGACUCUGUAAGGGAAGCGAGACAUGUUGGUUCCUUCUCAAACUCCAUCGUCUGCUCGCGUUCUGAGAAACAGGACGUCCCAGGGGAGGAAGCAGGCUCUCUGACAUCAAGGGUUACCAGUCCCAAGAGCUUUGUUUUCCAGAAAGAGGAGGUCAGGAUAGAAUGCAGAGACAUGCCGUCCACUCUUAAAAUUUUCAGGUCACGGGAGACAACAGCUGAAUCCUCCCCAAGCACUUCAGGGAAUCUGGUUCAGUGCGAUGUGUGGUCUGUAAGCUCCACAGAAGGUGUAAUGCCACUUUACAGCUCCACCAUUAACGAGACUAAUGUCUUACAGAAUGCAGUGCGCCCAGAGGAGCUCCAGGAGCAAUGUGUGCCUGCCUUCCCAGACGUACUACUCCUGGGAGCUUCUCCACCCAAUACUGUCGCAUCUGUCAGAGAUGAGAAGAAACCUGCUGUUCACAAGGAACACAGAACAAGACCAAACAAGAAAGGGUCAGCACCAGUUACUGAGCAGGACCCAAGAAUGGUCCAGAAUGAUAAAGGUGCACCAAGACAUCUACAUGAGGAAGAUGGCGGUGCAAAACCUGUUGAGCAUGUUCCCGCAGAUAACCCCAAGCAACAGUGUGAAGUCCUGCAUGUAGAAGAUUUGAAGAAAGCUGAGUUGUCAGGAAAGUCAGUCACAAAGCUGGACCCUCAUGUCUCACCUGAAGAGUGGCUGGCUCAGCAGGGUAAGACGCACCCUGAAAAGGCAACUGAGGAGCCCUUCAAUGAGCGAGCCCCAGAUAGUCACGUCGAGCAAAUGGAGACGGGUUCUGUGGCAAACAGCCAGGAUCACACCACAGGAAAGGAUAAAAAUGAAAAUGAGGAGGGGUGGCCUGUGGAGACUCUGCCUCCAUACGUUCCUUCCGCAAGCUGGUUAGCAGACUUUGGCAAUGUGUAUUAUUUCAGCAAAUUACCCCAGAGUGUUCAGGACCACCUGAGCAUUUUCAGUACCUCCAAAGAUGCGAUAAGGAUGGGAAAAAAGGCAAAGCUAACAUGUGAAGGCCCCUGUGACCCCAUGGAUACCUCUAUGCAAAAGAGAGUGAAAAAAAGGCACAGUCGAUUGUUGGAGGUGAAGGGAACCCCUGAAAAUGAAGGGUUUUGUAAUCACCUCAUUAACAGGAAUGCUCUUAAUCCAAAUGAUGAGGGAGCAAAAAGGUGCACCCACUGUUUGUCAAAACAGAACGCACAUGGUAGUUCUGAUUCAAAAGCUCUAUGUGGACACAAAAGGCACAAAUUAACCCAACAAACUGCUGACCUUAAACAAACCUGUGCAGCCUGUAGAUACAGCUCAACGCAGGUUAUGAAAGUGAGAGGGCCUGAAGCUGUGGGCCACUAUGCCAAUGAGGACUUGGACCAUGAAACACUGGAGGUUAAAGGCCCAUCAGAACCCCUCAAACAAAAUCAGGAGUCUAGGACGUCAAUGGCGGCAAGGAAGAGGAUUCUUUCUAAAAGAGUGUCGGAAAACAAUUCAGUUUUUCAGAGUCCAAAAGUCAAAGAAAAGAGGAAUUCUGGAAAAGAGGCCAAGCUUGCCUAUGAAUAUAGCCAUCCAGACGCCAUGAAGGAGUGUAAUGCUGAAGUUAUGGUGACGUCUACUCCAGGCAAAUGUAAAGAAAAGGCAUGGAGAGAAAGUGUAUCGACACCUGACAAGGAGGAUUGGGAAAAUUAUGGAGCCAGACCGAGAAACACGAAUAAAGAAAGGAAAACACUUCCCCAGUCACAAGAGAAAAAUGUGUCAUACAUGCCACUUGCACAGAGACACAGGAAAAAUGCGCACAGUGAAACUCUUGAAAGAGACCAGCCAAGACCGAACAGAACAAGAGGUCAGUGAUGUUUUAUUCUUCUUCAGCCAUGGUGCUGCUAGGAUCACUAGGAGUCA
This is a long non-coding RNA of Lepisosteus oculatus (spotted gar), 2202 nucleotides long. Lineage: Eukaryota; Metazoa; Chordata; Actinopteri; Semionotiformes; Lepisosteidae. The record is from Ensembl.